RNAcentral lists this ribosomal RNA (222 nucleotides) under uncultured bacterium. RNAcentral describes it as "partial 16S ribosomal RNA". It matches the Rfam family "Bacterial small subunit ribosomal RNA", at positions 15 to 219 of the family's 1533-position model. The record is from RNAcentral.
GAUCCUGGCUCAGGAUGAACGCUGGCGGCGUGCUUAACACAUGCAAGUCGAGCGAAGCACAUAAGUUCGAUUCUUCGGAUGAAGACUUUUGUGACUGAGCGGCGGACGGGUGAGUAACGCGUGGGUAACCUGCCUCAUACAGGGGGAUAACAGCUAGAAAUGGCUGCUAAUACCGCAUAAGACCACAGUACUGCAUGGUACAGUGGUAAAAACUCCGGUGGU